Molecule: ribosomal RNA, 376 nt
Filed under: Clostridioides difficile
Lineage: Bacteria; Bacillati; Bacillota; Clostridia; Peptostreptococcales; Peptostreptococcaceae
Description: bacterial SSU rRNA
Rfam family: Bacterial small subunit ribosomal RNA
Source: RNAcentral
GUGAGCCAGUACAGGAUGGACCCGCGUCUGAUUAGCUAGUUGGUAAGGUAACGGCUUACCAAGGCGACGAUCAGUAGCCGACCUGAGAGGGUGAUCGGCCACAUUGGAACUGAGACACGGUCCAAACUCCUACGGGAGGCAGCAGUGGGGAAUAUUGCACAAUGGGCGAAAGCCUGAUGCAGCAACGCCGCGUGAGGGAUGAAGGCCUUCGGGUCGUAAAACUCUGUCCUCAAGGAAGAUAAUGACGGGACUUGAGGAGGAAGCCCCGGCUAACUACGUGCCAGCAGCCGCGGUAAUACGUAGGGGGCUAGCGUUAUCCGGAUUUACUGGGCGUAAAGGGUGCGUAGGCGGUCUUUCAAGUCAGGAGUGAAAGGCU